Molecule: transfer RNA, 66 nt
Filed under: Ochotona coreana
Lineage: Eukaryota; Metazoa; Chordata; Mammalia; Lagomorpha; Ochotonidae
Description: tRNA-Lys
Rfam family: tRNA
About the family: Transfer RNA (tRNA) molecules are approximately 80 nucleotides in length. Their secondary structure includes four short double-helical elements and three loops (D, anti-codon, and T loops).
Source: RNAcentral
CAUUAUGAAGCUAGUAAGCAUUAACCUUUUAAGUUAAAGACUGAGAGCUUAACCUCUCCAUAAUGA